GUCCACCUCAAUUCAUCAGGAGAGACCUAGUGUGGGUGUAGGGGUGCCUGAGGAGAAAGGGGUGCUGGUUCUUCCUUAUAUCAUAUCCCCUGCCUGCCUCAGCUGGGCUCUGACCCAGCCAGCAGACUGGAGUCCUCUUCUGCAUGAUAAGGAAACUGAGGCUUAGAGGAGUUAUGAAACUGCCCAAGGUUUCACAGCUGAAAUGUAUAAGGACCUGGACUUGCAAAUUUGGCACAAAGUUCUUCUAAUAAGAGGCCAUAAAAUAACCAAAUGAUUUUUUAUGUGCCUAUAGAACCAAAAGAACUAUUUCAGAAUGUCAGCUGAAAAGCACGAUAUUCCAGUAGAGGAUGGAGGCCGAAGCCACAACAGUGACAGAUGUUCCAGAAGAUCAGCUUAUAUAAUGAGAAGUUGGGCCAAAUCUGUUGAAAGUGGUGUUUUUUUAAAAAACACACUGACUUCAAAGAAAUGAGUUGUGGCAUCUGUAACAUCUACACGAGCAGCACCAAUGGAGGCUGGCGGGUCUGCAGAGGAGCAGCUCAAGUCAUGCGAUUACUGGAGCUUGCAGCGAAAUGACUGGAACAACAUCUGGGCUGCAGCAAGCUGGCCAGGACAUUUUAAAAGAGCUCCUGUGGUGCCUCCAACUUUGAUUUUACAGAGCUGCGGGGAAAGAAACAGGCUGUGUUCAAGAGCUCAUGUGUUUUGCCUCACAUGUUUUGUCCUCGGUCACUGUGAAGGGCCUCACUCAGCUGGGGACCCUGAGGGACAUUCUUGGGCAGUCAUUCUCUGUCUACUCUGCUAGCUCUGUAGAAUAUUCAUUUAUUUAACAAAUAUUAUCGUGAACCUACCAUGUGUGUGACAUAUAGUAGAGAGGAUCCUGGACAGAGAGCACCUGGGACUGAAUCCCAGCCUUGUAGCCCACCAGUUUCAUGAGCUUCUACUACCAAGAUGGUUUGGAAAACAUUUAUAAGCUUAGAAACCUUGGCAUAGUGCCUUCCUGGAAAUCCUGGAUUGCAUCUAAAACCAUGUGGCAGAGGGAGAAACCACAGACAGGCCAUCCUGAGAAGACUCAGGCUGAGAUGAAAGCUCUGCUCUCCAGGGACAAAGCAGCAGGGGACCAGCCAUGCUCAGAGAUACUCCACUGGCCAGUGCACAUUUUUUUGAGCAAUUUCACUUGCUUCCACACCACCUGCCCCCCUAACACUUCUAUUAAAGUGGCAAAUAAAUCCGAUACCCAAUUUCC
Pongo pygmaeus (Bornean orangutan) is the source of this 1240-nucleotide long non-coding RNA. RefSeq lists it as uncharacterized. The record is from RefSeq and is a predicted model, not a curated record. The transcript is spliced from 5 exons. NCBI's taxonomy places the organism in Eukaryota, Metazoa, Chordata, Mammalia, Primates, Hominidae.